AAGAUGGCGACCGGCGCACGGGUGAGUAACACGUAUCCAACCUGCCGAUAACUCCGGAAUAGCCUUUCGAAAGAAAGAUUAAUACCGGAUGGCAUACGAAUAUCGCAUGAUAUUUUUUAUUUAAAGAAUUUCGGUUAUCGAUGGGGAUGCGUUCCAUUAGUUUGUUGGCGGGGUAACGGCCCACCAAGACUACGAUGGAUAGGGGUUCUGAGAGGAAGGUCCCCCACAUUGGAACUGAGACACGGUCCAAACUCCUACGGGAGGCAGCAUG
This 271-nucleotide ribosomal RNA is filed under the name uncultured bacterium. RNAcentral describes it as "partial 16S ribosomal RNA". It matches the Rfam family "Bacterial small subunit ribosomal RNA", at positions 85 to 353 of the family's 1533-position model. The record is from RNAcentral.